This 21-nucleotide non-coding RNA is filed under the name Caenorhabditis elegans. The record is from RNAcentral. Lineage: Eukaryota; Metazoa; Nematoda; Chromadorea; Rhabditida; Rhabditidae.
UGACUAUCCAACAAAAUCUUC